Long non-coding RNA from Pantherophis guttatus, 190 nucleotides. RefSeq lists it as uncharacterized. The record is from RefSeq and is a predicted model, not a curated record. Lineage: Eukaryota; Metazoa; Chordata; Lepidosauria; Squamata; Colubridae.
AAUGUAAAACAACUCAGAACUGUUGCCAAGAACAUGCCAAGAGAUGGACAUGUCAAUGAUGUUGCCAUGAGUCAAUCUUGAAGAAGACUUCAGAAAAAAGAGGAAAAGGAAAGAAGGUGGGAUCAAGUGCACUUUGUGUUCAGUCUUCCUAUUGGUGCUCGUUGCUGAGUAAUAAAAUUGAUCAUUAAAA